AUUGAACGCUGGCGGCAGGCCUAACACAUGCAAGUCGAGCGAGCGGCGGACGGGUGAGUAAUGUUUGGGAAACUGCCUGAUGGAGGGGGAUAACUACUGGACACGGUAGCUAAUACCGCAUACUAUCAGAUGUCCCCAGAUGGGCUUAGCGAGUAGGUGGGGUAAUGGCUCACCUAGGCGACGAUCCCUAGCUGGUCUGCGAGGAUGACAAGGUACAAUGGAACUGGGACACGGUCCAGACUCCAACGGGAGGUAGCAGUGGGGAAUAUUGCACAAUGGGCGCAAGCCUGAUGGAGCCAUGCCGCGUGUGUGAAGAAGGCCUUCGGGUUGUAAAGCACUUUCAGCUAGGAGGCGUUACUCGCAGAAGAAGCACCGGCUAACUCCGUGCCAGCAGCCGCGGUAAUUC
RNAcentral lists this ribosomal RNA (406 nucleotides) under uncultured bacterium. RNAcentral's name for it is "partial 16S ribosomal RNA". It matches the Rfam family "Bacterial small subunit ribosomal RNA", at positions 30 to 526 of the family's 1533-position model. The record is from RNAcentral.